GGAUUCGCUCUCGUAGGUGACCUGCGGAGGGAUCAUUACACAAAUAUGAAGGCGGGCUGGAACCUCUCGGGGUUACAGCCUUGCUGAAUUAUUCACCCUUGUCUUUUGCGUACUUCUUGUUUCCUUGGUGGGUUCGCCCACCACUAGGACAAACAUAAACCUUUUGUAAUUGCAAUCAGCGUCAGUAACAAAUUAAUAAUUACAACUUUCAACAACGGAUCUCUUGGUUCUGGCAUCGAUGAAGAACGCAGCGAAAUGCGAUAAGUAGUGUGAAUUGCAGAAUUCAGUGAAUCAUCGAAUCUUUGAACGCACAUUGCGCCCUUUGGUAUUCCAAAGGGCAUGCCUGUUCGAGCGUCAUUUGUACCCUCAAGCUUUGCUUGGUGUUGGGCGUCUUGUCUCUAGCUUUGCUGGAGACUCGCCUUAAAGUAAUUGGCAGCCGGCCUACUGGUUUCGGAGCGCAGCACAAGUCGCACUCUCUAUCAGCAAAGGUCUAGCAUCCAUUAAGCCUUUUUUUCAACUUUUGACCUCGGAUCAGGUAGGGAUACCCGCUGAACUUAAGCAUAUCAAAAGGCCGGAGGAA
RNAcentral lists this ribosomal RNA (580 nucleotides) under Alternaria sp. CBSF68. RNAcentral's name for it is "eukaryotic LSU rRNA". The stretch from base 204 to 357 matches the Rfam family "5.8S ribosomal RNA". Lineage: Eukaryota; Fungi; Ascomycota; Dothideomycetes; Pleosporales; Pleosporaceae. The record is from RNAcentral.